AAUAAUGGUGGACUGAAUGGGGCAGCCGAAAGGCUGGCUAGUUGGUUACUCGGUAGUCUGAAACCUGUUCAGUUCACCACCAAU
Molecule: non-coding RNA, 84 nt
Filed under: Sodalis glossinidius str. 'morsitans'
Lineage: Bacteria; Pseudomonadati; Pseudomonadota; Gammaproteobacteria; Enterobacterales; Bruguierivoracaceae
Source: RNAcentral